CAGCAGCCGCGGGAAUACGUAGGUGGCAAGCGUUGUCCGGAAUUAUUGGGCGUAAAGGGCUCGCAGGUGGUUUCUUAAGUCUGAUGUGAAAGCCCCCGGCUCAACCGGGGAGGGUCAUUGGAAACUGGGAAACUUGAGUGCAGAAGAGGAGAGUGGAAUUCCACGUGUAGCGGUGAAAUGCGUAGAGAUGUGGAGGAACACCAGUGGCGAAGGCGACUCUCUGGUCUGUAACUGACGCUGAGGAGCGAAAGCGUGGGGAGCGAACAGGAUUAGAUACCCGAGUAGUCCCUGUCUCUUAUAC
Molecule: ribosomal RNA, 301 nt
Filed under: uncultured bacterium
Lineage: Bacteria
Description: partial 16S ribosomal RNA
Rfam family: Bacterial small subunit ribosomal RNA
Source: RNAcentral